GACGGAGGAUGCAAGCGUUAUCCGGAAUGAUUGGGCGUAAAGCGUCCGCAGGUGGCAGUUCAAGUCUGCUGUCAAAGACCGGGGCUUAACUUCGGAAAGGCAGUGGAAACUGAACAGCUAGAGUAUGGUAGGGGCAGAGGGAAUUCCUGGUGUAGCGGUGAGAUGCGUAGAGAUCAGGAAGAACAUCGGUGGCGAAGGCGCUCUGCUGGGCCAUAACUGACACUCAGGGACGAAAGCUAGGGGAGCGAAUGGG
RNAcentral lists this ribosomal RNA (253 nucleotides) under uncultured bacterium. RNAcentral describes it as "partial 16S ribosomal RNA". It matches the Rfam family "Bacterial small subunit ribosomal RNA", at positions 524 to 776 of the family's 1533-position model. The record is from RNAcentral.